UACGGAGGAUGCGAGCGUUAUCCGGAUUUAUUGGGUUUAAAGGGUGCGUAGGUUGUUUUUUAAGUCAGCGGUGAAAGUUUGUGGCUCAACCAUAAAAUUGCCGUUGAAACUGGAAGACUUGAGUGUGUUUGAGGUAGGCGGAAUGCGUGGUGUAGCGGUGAAAUGCAUAGAUAUAACUUAGAACACCGAUAGCGAAGGCAGCUUACCAGACUGAGUCUGACGCUGAUGCACGAGAGCAUGGGUAGCGAACAGG
This 253-nucleotide ribosomal RNA is filed under the name uncultured Parabacteroides sp. Its description in RNAcentral is "partial 16S ribosomal RNA". It matches the Rfam family "Bacterial small subunit ribosomal RNA", at positions 524 to 776 of the family's 1533-position model. Lineage: Bacteria; Pseudomonadati; Bacteroidota; Bacteroidia; Bacteroidales; Tannerellaceae. The record is from RNAcentral.